CCUACGGGUGGCAGCAGUGAGGAAUAUUGGUCAAUGGGCGCGAGCCUGAACCAGCCAAGUCGCGUGAAGGAUGACUGCCCUCCGGGUUGUAAACUUCUUUUAUGAAGGAAUAAAGUGAGGCACGUGUGCCUUUUUGUAUGUACUUUAUGAAUAAGGAUCGGAUAACUCCGUGCCAGCAGCCGCGGUACUACGGUGGAUACGAGGGUUACCUGGAUUUAUUGGGUUUAAAGGGAACGUAGAUGGGUUGUUAAGUCAGUUGUGAAAGUUUGUGGCUCAACCGUAAAAUUGCAAUUGAUACUGGCAGGCUUGAGUACAGUUGAGGUAGGCGGAAUUCGUGGUGUAGCGGUGAAAUGCUUAGAGAUCACGAAGAACACCGAUGGCGAAGGCAGCCUACUAAACUGCCACUGACAUUGAGGCGCGAAAGUGUGGGGAGCAAACAGGAUUAGAUACCCUUGUAGUC
RNAcentral lists this ribosomal RNA (460 nucleotides) under uncultured bacterium. Its description in RNAcentral is "partial 16S ribosomal RNA". It matches the Rfam family "Bacterial small subunit ribosomal RNA", at positions 338 to 795 of the family's 1533-position model. The record is from RNAcentral.